This 3629-nucleotide unclassified non-coding RNA is filed under the name Hevea brasiliensis (rubber tree). The record is from RNAcentral. Lineage: Eukaryota; Viridiplantae; Streptophyta; Magnoliopsida; Malpighiales; Euphorbiaceae.
UAAUAAUUAAAUAAUAUAAAGUGUGAAUAUCUAUUUAAAUACUCUGUAAAUAAAAAAUAUUAAAAAUAAGUAUAUAUAAAAAAGACUAGGAAACGACGAGAAAAAAAUAAAAUUAAAAUGAUGCAUGCUUUAAAAUCUGUGUAGAUCUAUGUACUUCUUUAUUAAAUCAAAUUGCUUAUUGGUUAAGGUACUUGAUAUGUGGUCUUUCUUUACUUGAUUUGCUUCUUAAUCCAAUUAUUAAUUCUUAUCAUUUGUUUAUUAGCAAAAUUAAAGAUGAAUUCCUGCUUGAUUGCUUGUUGCUAUCUAUUUAAAAAAAAAUUUUAAAAAAAUUUACUAUAUAUUCACUUGUAGAUGAUUUUCAUGACAUAAAAGAGCAACGCGUUCUUUUUUAAUAUGUUACAUAUGAUAAUAGUCGUAGAUUGUUGGGAAAUUUUGAUGUCAUAUUAUUCGAUGCUGGGAAUUGGUUAGAAUUUGGUAUAUGGUUAUUUUGGAUUGUAAAUCUUUGUAUCUCAAGGUUCUAAUGUGUUUUGUGUUGAGUUAAGCGACAAACUAAUAAGACUGUUCAUGGUUUAACUUGGGCGGCUUUAUUACCUGCUAUUCUCACAUUUUAGUAAGAGUACCUUUGAAUUUUGGAUCCUUUCCAUAAUUAAGUUUGCAUCUGCCCCUGAGUAUGUGUAAAAGUAUUUUAUCACUAUCAUUAUAAAUUUUUUUAAUUAAUUGUAUUAAUAUGUUAAAGGUAUAAAUUUACAAGGAUCUAUGGUUUGAUAAAAAAUUUGUACUACUAAAAGUAUUUAGAUCUAAUAAUUGUGAAUGAUAUUACGAUUUUGGUUUGGUUAACCAUUGGUUUUAUAAAUUAAAAAUCAUAAUUUAGUUCAUCAACUCAAUUAACUAAUUUUUCAUAUUGGUUUUAAGUUUUUGGGAUUUUUUUUAGCUCAACCCCAGAGUUAGGGGUGUAAAAAACUGUUCAAUUAGUUGAAGGUAAAUUUCUAUGUAUGAAGCCUUUCCAUGUUCCUACUUGAAGCUUGAUGCUAGAUGCUUUAUCUAAGUUUUCGGCCUUGUUUGUAAAUGGGAGCUCUAAUUUUCAUGUAUAACAUGUUGGAGUAAUAAUUUAUGAUAUGCUGAAUUUAUUUUUAGUGAUUCCUGAGUUUCCUAAUUCUUGGUUCUUCAUACUCCACCAGAGUAUUUUUCGACGAGUUGCUUCAUAUGAGGGCCCUGAGGAUUUUAGAAAAGAUAUGAGGUAAAAUCUACUCCAUUAGUCUUUUGUAUUUAUGCUACCAUUUGUGAACAAAUUCAAUACACCGACAAAUCUAGAAUUAAAAUUUUGGAGGGGCCAAAGUAUAAAUAAGAAAUACAUAUGCAAAAAUAUACGAGUAUUAUAUCAUAAAAAUAAAAAUAAUAUAUAAAAAAUCUUAAAAAUCCUUAGAAUAAGUGACAUAUAUUUAGUAAACUAACAAUAAAAAGAUCAAUUAGAGAAUUAAAAGGAUUGAAAACAGAUUAAAAUGCGCAAAAUUAGUAAUUAAAUGACUUAUGUAUUAUUCAUUUAAUAAUAACACAAAUUUUUUUUUUUAUUUGGGAGGGGCUGAUUUCAAAAAAAUUAUUAAUAAUUUGAUUUUAUUUUUGUUAAUCAUAUCUUAAAUUAUUAUUUCUUUUAAGCUUGGGGGGCCAAGGCCCCUAUCGCCUCCCUGGAUUUAUCUAUGAUUCAGUAUAAGUUUGCAUUUCAUACCCUUGCUCAUAAACAAGGUUUGUACCCAUUGACAUCGUCUUUUCUGUUCCCUUACCUUAAUUUUAUGUAAAAAUUGCAAUAUGGUUUUCACCAUGAUGAUGAUGAUGAUGAUAAAGAAUUGUAUAAAAUAUACAUUGCAAUGACAGCACCAAACUAGAGAGGAGGGGGGAGGGCAAUGAAUAUUAAUUUUAAGUCUCUCCUAUAAAAAUGAGGAUGACUGUGGGGAUGGGGGAAAAUUUUCUGCCCAUUAGGGGGGCAAAUGGAAAGGACAGGCUGGGGAAUGGCUCCUUAUCUCUAUAACUCUAUUGCCAUUCCUAAGUCGCAUAAAUGCAUUUUUGAAUGGCUAUUAGAAUUCAGAUCUUGAUCCUUUCAGCACUCCAAAGUCAUGUUGAUUAGUUUAGGCCAUGUUUCAGUCACUGUGAUUGAUAUUUAAACCAGUUAUUACACUAACAUCAACAUUCUUAUACCUCUACUAGUCAUUUUUAUCAAGUAUUUAUUGAUUUUGAUGUUGGAUUCAUUUUUCCAGUAGUAUGACCAAGUUUUUGGGUUGCCCAAAUAUCAGUUAUUAGGAUUCUUUUUCUAUUUAUUUAUUCAUUUAUUGUUGGAAGGUUGUUGCUUGCUCCUGUAAGAAUUGGAGCUCAGGCAUUUUCAUGGGUUGCUGGAAAACUAGAAACCAGCGGCAUUGGACUCCCAACGUCACCUUCAUCGUCAGAUGUUCAAACCCGGGUGCUGCAAGCUGCUGCAAAGCAUGAAUCUCAACCAUCUGAUACUGAAGAAGUUCAGAAUCCAUCUGCUGAAUCAUCGACUCCAAUAAAUGAGAAUGUAGAUUUUUCAGAAGCAUAGGCAUUGGAAUUGGCCUUAAAUAAUCAUUCCUACAUUUGAGAAUUGAACUAAUCUUUCCAACGUAUAAAGUGUAGUAAUAAACAUCCCACGGUAUGACUUCUUUGAAAUUGAGUUUUGCACUUUACAUCAGAUCAAUCAAGCAAGUUUGUACGUCUCAAAUUUUUAUUCCUUUUGAUGAGGACAGAGACAUAACAGUCAUAAGCAUACUUUUAUGCACAUGGCAUUUACAAUGCUAUGAAUCACUCAUAUGUUCUCAUAUCAUAACAGGAAGGGACAACAGAAUCACUCGCAGCCUAUUACAUGCUUUGUUGGCUGCAAGUAAAACUGGUAUGAAAAGAGAAUAAUACAUGAUGCAUGUCAAAAUGUGGGCAAUAAAAAGGAAAAUAGACAUAAUAUCAAGAAGUUGGAAUCAUGGGUAUCAAGAAAUAUGCACACAAACAAAAGCAAGAUAACUCUUAAUAGUUCUUUCAAAAUAUUCAACUAACCAACUUAGUGAGCUAUUGACUAUGCUUUCAGGAGCUCAGCUCAAAAUAUUCAUUCUUCUGGUAAUCAACCCCAACUCCAACAAUCCAAACACUAAGACAAAAUGCCCUCAAAAGAGGAAAACCAAGACUACUGCAGAAAUGUUUUACAGGGUGAUGGAUUUCUCUGGAUUCGACAUAUCACCAGUUGUUAGAUCAACAGGGCAUGUUUUAUGUGGUCCACUUUUGUUUCCCAUUACCACCAUUGGUGGUGGGGAUAGUAACCCUGCAUUGAAAAGAAUGUUUCGUACAGGGUCUGAAGGCUGGGCACCAACUGAUAGCCAAUACUUCACUCUGUCGAAUUUGAGGCCCACUUUCUUAUUGUCCUCUUUACCAGCCAAGGGAUUAUAGAAACCAAGGACUUGAAGAAUCUUGCCAUCUCUAGGUGAUUUGCUAUCAGCAGCAACGAUCCUGUAAAAUGGUCUGUUCCUGCAUCCGCAUCUCUCCAAUCGUAUCUUCACUGCCAUUUGCUCUUUUGAUUCAGCAAACUUCCCUCAGAGAUUAACAGCAGGAAGGCGAGCCUACUUAGUCGAGGGUUUUAG